GCCUGGCUAUCUCAGUAGGUAGAGUGUGUGACUCUUGAUCUCAGGGAUGUGAAUUCAAACUCCAUGAUGGGUG
Molecule: transfer RNA, 73 nt
Filed under: Canis lupus familiaris (dog)
Lineage: Eukaryota; Metazoa; Chordata; Mammalia; Carnivora; Canidae
Also listed under: 1 other name
Rfam family: tRNA
About the family: Transfer RNA (tRNA) molecules are approximately 80 nucleotides in length.
Source: Rfam by way of RNAcentral